Rhipicephalus sanguineus (brown dog tick) is the source of this 924-nucleotide long non-coding RNA. RefSeq lists it as uncharacterized. The record is from RefSeq and is a predicted model, not a curated record. NCBI's taxonomy places the organism in Eukaryota, Metazoa, Arthropoda, Arachnida, Ixodida, Ixodidae. The transcript is spliced from 10 exons.
AGACGUUCUCUCUGGCUGGAUUUGCAUCGGCUCACUUUUCACGCUGCUUCCGUAGUGAGCGGUUGGCGCCGUGUUGGGCGUGCGGUACUGUGGCGUUUUUGCGUGAGCUCAAUCCGUUUCCAUCGCUUGAAGUAUGAAUUGUGGACAUGUGGCUGUUCAACGUGGCUACAUCGUGACACCACGUGUACUCGUGUACCCGGCAGCACGGCGGUUGAAGAUGACGCCGAUUGACUCCGCCGGCAUUAGCUGAACCAAUGGCUGAACGCUCUGAUCAGGAGUGUGCAAUGAGCUGUGCUUCUGCAUUUAAAAAAUAACAAAAUGUCCGCAUGAGCACUGGUGGAUGCUUCUCAUUGACCCCUCUGAGAGGUUUGCUUGAAAUGCCCAUGCAAUGUUACAACAAAGGGUGAACGUGAGCACUGGUGGAUGAGUGAAGCAUCAUUGUCCCAUUGAAAGGUUUGUUGAUAUAUUGCCACCAGAGUUUCUUUAUGUAUAUGUAUGAUGAUUAAGUCCUUUCACACUUUUACUUGGUGAAAUAUACUUGCCCUCUCUGAUUCCCAAGUUCUCUCAAGAAUUUGGAAAGUCCAUUGCUAUCAGUAAACACUCUCCCCUGUUCCAGGUGUGCCCUUGCAGCGUUAAAACAACAAAGGGUGAACAUCAGCACUGGUGGACGAGUCUAAAGCAUCAUUGUCCCAUUGAAAGGUUUUUCUGAAAUGCCCAUGCAGUCUUGGCAGCUCUCUCGUGGGAAAAGGUGUUCUGCUGUAGCUCAUCUGCUUUAGAGUCAUGCCCCAGCUGCGGUUAAUGACUACGGCAAGCACUGCGGUUGAUGUGUGAACGACAGUUGGACAAGGAGAAAACCCGCCACAUUUUUCGGUGUGCACAGAUCUUUAGAGAACACUUCACUCAGAAUAAAAGAUUCGCAUUAAA